GCUCAAACUUCAAUGUUCACAUAGUUUAAGUUUACUAAACUUGUUCUUCUUCUUCUUUUUUAAGUGAUGAUAUUUUUUACUUAAUCUAUUAAUUUUUUUAUUUAUUUUGAUUAAAAUUUAGGAUUCUCUCAAUUGAGGUACUAACCCUACACCUCGUGAUCCUCAGCUAUUGAUUAAUUAUUCAAUCUAUGUAUCUCAUGAUCCUUAGCUAUUGAUUAAUUAUUCAAUCUACGUAUAUAAAGUUGUUCAGCCAACUCAACUAUACAUCCUAUGUAUUGGUC
This 281-nucleotide long non-coding RNA is filed under the name Elaeis guineensis (African oil palm). Its description in RNAcentral is "long non-coding RNA (EGUI_LNC032450)". The record is from RNAcentral. Lineage: Eukaryota; Viridiplantae; Streptophyta; Magnoliopsida; Arecales; Arecaceae.